CUCGACUGACAUAAAGAUCAUAAAAUAUUUCCAUACACCAAAUAUAGUUGACCUAUGGCAUAUAGCAUUAGAUAAAAAGACCAAAACUCAAAAACUUAACUUUAACCACUGAACCAUGAAAAUGAGGUCAAGGUCACAUGACAUCUGCCCGCUAGACAUGUACACUUAACAAUCAUUCCAUACAACAAAUAUAGUAGACCUAUUGCAUAUGGUAUGAGAAAAACAGACCAAAACACAAAAAUUUAACUAUAACACUGAACUAUGAAAUUGAGGUCAAGGUCAGAUGACACCUGCCAGUUGGACAUGUACACCUUACAGUCCUUCCAUACACCGAAUAUACUAGCCCUAUUGCUUAAGUAUCUGAGAUAUGGACUUGACCACCAAAACUUAACCUUGUUCACUGAUCCAUGAAGUGAGGUCGAGGUCAAGUGAAAACUGUCUGACAGACACGAGGACCUUGCAAGGUACGCACAUAUCAAAUAUAGUUAUCCUAUUACUUAU
This 501-nucleotide long non-coding RNA is filed under the name Mytilus galloprovincialis (Mediterranean mussel). The record is from RNAcentral. Lineage: Eukaryota; Metazoa; Mollusca; Bivalvia; Mytilida; Mytilidae.